Molecule: unclassified non-coding RNA, 310 nt
Filed under: plant metagenome
Description: partial contains 5.8S ribosomal RNA, internal transcribed spacer 2, and large subunit ribosomal RNA
Rfam family: 5.8S ribosomal RNA (bases 1-105)
Source: RNAcentral
GAAAUGCGAUAAGUAGUGUGAAUUGCAGAAUUCAGUGAAUCAUCGAAUCUUUGAACGCAUAUUGCGCCCCUCGGUAUUCCGUGGGGCAUGCCUGUUCGAGCGUCAUCUACACCCUCAAGCUCUGCUUGGUGUUGGGCGUCUGUCCCGCCUCCUUCGCGCGCGGACUCGCCCCAAAUCCAUUGGCGGCGGCCCUUGCCUCCCUCUCGCGCAGCACAUUGCGCUUCUCGAGGCGCGGCGGACCGCGUCCAGCAAGCAACCGUCACACCGUCUUUGACCUCGGAUCAGGUAGGGAUACCCGCUGAACUUAAGC